RNAcentral lists this ribosomal RNA (399 nucleotides) under uncultured bacterium. Its description in RNAcentral is "bacterial SSU rRNA". It matches the Rfam family "Bacterial small subunit ribosomal RNA", at positions 30 to 412 of the family's 1533-position model. The record is from RNAcentral.
AGCGAACGCUGGCGGCGUACUUAACACAUGCAAGUCGAACGAGGAUCGUCGGGUUAGCAAUAAUUCGGCGGUUCUAGUGGCGUACGGGUGAGUAACACGUGGGUAACCUGCCCUCGAGUCCGGGAUACCCUCUCGAAAGGGAGGCUAAUACUGGAUACGUUCCCUAGGUCGCAAGGCCUGGGGAGGAAAGGUAGCGAGAGCUGCCGCUCUUGGAGGGGCUCGCGGCCUAUCAGCUAGUUGGGAGGUAACGGCUCACCAAGGCGAUGACGGGUAGCUGGUCUGAGAGGACGACCAGCCACACGGGAACUGAGACACGGUCCCGACUCCUACGGGAGGCAGCAGUGGGGAAUUUUCCGCAAUGGGCGAAAGCCUGACGGAGUGACGCCGCGUGGGGACGAA